UGUAUAACUUAAUUUAUAAGGUAACCAAAUAUACUAUGCCCUGAGAAGUCCUACUGUCAAGAUAACACUAGCGUUCAAUUUUUGGCUAUCUGCUCUGGUAAUUCCGGCGACGUUUGUUCAAAUCCAACUCCAUGGCGUACAAAUCUAUGGCUACACACAGCUUUCGUAACUUCUCCACUGUCUCUUCCUUUUGCAAUGCUUCAACAAUUUCCCGGACGACGUAUCCAAUGACGUCUACAUUUCGGCCAACACUACUCCACUCGAUAUCCGUCGCCUCUCGUUCCGUAUCGGUCGCCGCCGGCAGUUUCACUUGGGACGACGUUGUCCAUGUUUCUUUACCAGAAAGCUUUCAGGACGAUCCUUCAGAUCUGACGGGCUAUUUCGAGAAGGUCAAGCUCUGCAAUCGCGGAUCAGAUACGCAAUCUGAAAUUCUUCCCUUUGUCAUCGAUGACCAAAUUGUUGGCUACGUCCACCACGGUUUCGCUAAACACCUGAAACAAUAUCCGAAUGUGUUUACCUUCCCCCGAGACGAUUCUGUUAAAUUUGGCGCUUACUUGACCUUGCAUGAAUCGUUGAAGACACCCAAGGAUAGGACGCUUGCAGUUGGAGAUGUAGUUAAAUGCUUAGGUGAAAAAGUCAUUCCAGGUACACGGAACGAGCUAUACCCUGUUACUUCGUCCUUUGGUGCCCCGAACUUUUUCUCACUCGAACGUGCCGCAGCCCCUUAUUUUGGAAUAAAGGUUUAUGGAGUUCAUAUGAAUGGUUAUGUUGAGAAGGAAGGGAAAAAGUUUUUGUGGGUUGCAAAAAGAAGUCAAACGAAGCCAACUUUUCCUGGAAUGUUGGAUCAUUUAGUAGCUGGAGGGCUGAUGGUAUCAGAGCAUGGUGAUGAAAACGUCGCUGGAAUAGAAGAGAUUCAGUCAUCGACUCUAGUAAGGGAUGGAACUCCAAGAGAAAACUCUAACAGUGCUGAAAUUAGGGCUACCGUCGAUCAAUACCUACGAUCAUUACUUGGACCGAUUCAGAUUCAACCAGCCCUAAUUGAUCCAGCCGUUAUUGUCGUCGUUGCCGUCGGAGGACCCCCACCACUGCCAACGACGACUUCAACCACACUGCCGCCACUGCCGUCGAGACUCGACCAUCCGCCAUUAGCCCAGCCCAGAUACGAGUGUCCACCGUCGACUUCCUAUGUUUUCCAGCCGCGGGGUUUUACAGCUGCUGAUUCCGCUCCAGAUCCCACUGGCGGAAGUGUUUCAGCAGUGUGUUAUAUGGAGUUGAGACUGGGUGUGAAAUAUGAUGAUUUUCAUCGGAGCAGUUAGAAAGUUUAUGCCUAUGGAUUUGAAACGUAGUUGUAUAUGCAAACCUGGAUACUAAUCAGAGGAAAAAGAGACAAGGGAGAUGUAAAGUUUGAAAUGUGCUUUUGAAUGCUGAAUACCAUUCUUAUUAUCUUCAUAGCUAGACCCUGACAUUUUGAUUGUGACAGCCUCAGGGCAUCCCUUGUGGGGAGAACCUGAUGAAAGAAUGUGAGGAGGAAGCAGGCAUCCCGAGAUCAAUAUCAAAAGAUUGGUGCCAUUUCAUACACGGACAUCAAAGGUUAUGGUUACAAGAGAGAUGUUCAAUUCUGUUACGAUU
Benincasa hispida (wax gourd) is the source of this 1629-nucleotide RNA transcript. It is a transcript of the gene named nudix hydrolase 20, chloroplastic-like, with no coding region annotated. NCBI's taxonomy places the organism in Eukaryota, Viridiplantae, Streptophyta, Magnoliopsida, Cucurbitales, Cucurbitaceae. The record is from RefSeq and is a predicted model, not a curated record.